UUAUGCUGCAUAGUUAUGAAAAAUUAAUGAACCACAUCUACAAACUUAUUUUGGUGAUUUAGCCAAUUUUUACAAUGACUUACAGGGCUAUUUUUACUGCCUGUGCCACAGUAUUCAAUCAUACAUGUCAUUUUACUACAGUACAGUAGGUGGCGGUAUAUUGUUCGUGUCCGUAUCGUCAUACGCGGCAAGCAAGUACACACACAGUACAACUGAAGUGUCGCUGGAAGACUGCAGGAACAGAAACCCCUGGAAAGGUUAGAAGACAGCGGAAAGAAUUGACAUCGCAGUAAACCCAGCAGACAGCCAGAGACACACCAAGAGACACGCACACACACGCAGCUGAAGUGAGUUUGACUGACGCGCACGGGAGAUCGGGCACGCGCAAGGGAAAUCAUGCACGUGCACGGAAGGUCGUGCACGCACGCACAAACAUGGAGCACAGCAUAAUUACAACAGUUGGAUUAAAAUAAAAGUACUUUGUGGUAUACAAUGUU
Misgurnus anguillicaudatus (oriental weatherfish) is the source of this 497-nucleotide long non-coding RNA. RefSeq lists it as uncharacterized. The record is from RefSeq and is a predicted model, not a curated record. Lineage: Eukaryota; Metazoa; Chordata; Actinopteri; Cypriniformes; Cobitidae.